This is a non-coding RNA of Chiloscyllium plagiosum (whitespotted bambooshark), 561 nucleotides long. Lineage: Eukaryota; Metazoa; Chordata; Chondrichthyes; Orectolobiformes; Hemiscylliidae. The record is from RefSeq and is a predicted model, not a curated record.
GUCAGCCAAUCACAACAGCUGAAAGAACACGUUCUGCAGAUUACAGAAAGUAGUCUAUCCAAUCUGCAAUCAAGACAGUUGUACUUUGUUUCUGAGAGCAUUUUCACAUGUAAGCUAUUAUGAUCACUUUCGAAACUCACAACCAUGAUGUUCCAUUUUGCCAGAGCGGCAAGGAAAGGAGGAGAGGUGAAGCAAGGGCUGCUGGGAAGGUGCUGCAGUAAUCAUAAAAUACACCCAAGAGAGAAGGUUUGCUGAAUCGCAGACCUAGAUUUCCAACACAGAAGAUGAAAAUGCAUAAGCAGUGAAUUGAAAAGGUCAAGAUUAUUUUAGGAAGUCUCAGACAUUUCCAAAUUUUUUGUCCUUCUAAAGGAAGUGUUUAUAGCUGUUCUCUAAUAACUUCCCAAAGGUGACUAUUUUUCAUUGUUGAUCACAUAGCAGAUAUUGAUAAGAAAGAUGUUGUCCUCACCCAGUGUCAAUAUUUGAACAUUUGUCAACUAAAGUUACGAGAUGGUAGUUAAAAACACAAGACUUGGUUAUUUUUCACCUCCCUAACCUCAAGAU